UACACCUUAUAAAAAAAUAUAUAGGUAUUCUUAGCUUAACUACUAUAAGGUAGGUAGUAUUAAAAGGAACAUUGUAAUGACGGCAUCGUUAUCGAGAAAUGAAAAACCAUUUUGCUAGGAAACGACUAUAAUUAAAUACUAUAAACAACAGUGUUAAUUUAUCAUUGCAACCCGUUAGCCGUUGUUCUCUGCUGACAACAUCAGGUGCCCAGAGUGUCAGUUUCUCUAUAGUCGUAACGUGCUCGUGCGUGAAAAAGCGCCAAAAACAAGAUUUUAUAAUUUAUAAGCUAAACAUAAAUGUAUGGAAAUCUAUAAAAUUGCUUAUAAUAUAUCAAUAUCCAAAUCAUCAUGUUUUAAUUUCAAAUAAAAAGAAGAAAAACUGAGGAACAUUUUAUUUAUUGUUGGCUUCAAGUACUAUAUUGAUUUUAAAAUACUGGAACUCGUAUUUUUUUCGUUGUAUACUCAGUUAACGAGACAUAAUAACACGUAGUUUAACACCCGGAGGUCAACCCAGAAGUUAUCUACAAGGUCGGAAGAACAUUGAUUAUAAAUUGUUUAUUGUUCUCGCAUUAAUAAACAUGUUUAAUAUACUAUAUCGAUUUAAAAUUUGAAAAAAAUGGCACGUUUUAUUGCUUUAGGAAACCGGACGAGAUAACGACGACUUCCGUUUGUCACUGUUAAGUGAAAGUAAAUGUCAUCGUCACCUUCCAAUACAAAACGAUGAAGGUUAUGAGUAUUUCGUAUAUUUUUUCAAUUAUGGAAGAAAAUAGAAGAGCCGUGGAUCAUGUGUGUUUUUUAGUUAAUAUACGAAAGUAACGACACUUUAAAGUAUCCAAUAAUGAAAAAAAUGCUAUAAUCAGAAUGAUGUAGCAUGUGUGUAAAUCUGUAAAUGCCGCUGAAUGGCUUUAAAUUUUAAGAACAAAAUAACUGCAACUUCAUUCUCACUCGGCCGCUGCUUUUAUUAUCUUCUAAA
Molecule: long non-coding RNA, 973 nt
Organism: Aphis gossypii (cotton aphid)
Lineage: Eukaryota; Metazoa; Arthropoda; Insecta; Hemiptera; Aphididae
Exons: 3
Source: RefSeq, a predicted model, not a curated record